This is a non-coding RNA of Cajanus cajan (pigeon pea), 87 nucleotides long. The record is from Rfam. Lineage: Eukaryota; Viridiplantae; Streptophyta; Magnoliopsida; Fabales; Fabaceae.
AAGCCAUAUGAUGAGUUUGGAUUUACAAUUUCUCACGACGGUCGUCUGAGAUUACUGUGAUGCAUUGAUCCUCUAUGUCUGAUGGUU